GAUGAACGCUGGCGGCGUGCCUAAUACAUGCAAGUCGAGCGAACGGACGAUAAGCUUUCUUCUCUGAUGUUAGCGGCUGACGGGUGAGUAACACGUGGAUCACCUACCUAUAAUACUGGGAUAACUUCGUGAAACCGGAUCUAAUACCGGAUGAUAUUUUCUACCGCAUGGUUCAAAAGUGAAUGACGGUCUUGCUGUCACUUAUAGAUGGAUCCGCGCUGCAUUAGCUAGUUGGUAAGGUAACGGCUUACCAAGGCAACGAUGCAUAGCCGACCUGAGAGGGUGAUCGGCCACACUGGAACUGAGACACGGUCCAGACUCCUACGGGAGGCAGCAGUAGGGAAUCUUCCGCAAUGGGCGAAAGCCUGACGGAGCAACGCCGCGUGAGUGAUGAAGGUCUUCGGAUCGUAAAACUCUGUUAUUAGGGAAGAACAUAUGUGUAAGUAACUGUGCACAUCUUGACGGUACCUAAUCAGAAAGCAACGGCUAACUACGUG
This 497-nucleotide ribosomal RNA is filed under the name uncultured bacterium. RNAcentral's name for it is "partial 16S ribosomal RNA". It matches the Rfam family "Bacterial small subunit ribosomal RNA", at positions 28 to 507 of the family's 1533-position model. The record is from RNAcentral.